Molecule: signal recognition particle RNA, 267 nt
Filed under: Microcaldota archaeon
Lineage: Archaea; Nanobdellati; Microcaldota
Description: Candidatus Micrarchaeota archaeon signal recognition particle sRNA
Rfam family: Bacterial large signal recognition particle RNA
About the family: The signal recognition particle (SRP) is a universally conserved ribonucleoprotein involved in the co-translational targeting of proteins to membranes. Archaeal SRP consists of a 7S RNA and homologues of the eukaryotic SRP19 and SRP54 proteins.
Source: RNAcentral
CAGUGGGAUAGGUCGGGGAACUAGAGGUACCUUGAACCGCAAAUCCUCUUUAGGCGGGACUGAAUGGCUGGAUGAGGUUCAGCCUUUGUCGCAAGGCCCGUACCAAAGCGUCGAAGCCCUGCCUUCAGAGAUGGACUCAUAUAUGAACCGGGCUAGGCCGAAAGGAGCAACCCUAAGUAUGUGCGCUCAUGCUUUGGAGUAACGGGGUGGAGCAGAGGAACGGCAAACCUUUUGGCAAAGAUUGAAUCGAAACCAGCAAUCCCACUG